UUGUGUUAGGGAUUGAUGCGGCAUCCUUUUUUGCUUUUUCUGCAAAAAAGAUAUAGCGGAAAGCCCGGUUAUUU
RNAcentral lists this non-coding RNA (74 nucleotides) under unidentified eubacterium SCB49. RNAcentral describes it as "Flavo-1 RNA". It matches the Rfam family "Flavo-1 RNA". The record is from Rfam by way of RNAcentral. Lineage: Bacteria; Pseudomonadati; Bacteroidota.